AGAGACAGCAGCAGCCGCGGGAAUACGUAGGGUGCAAGCGUUAAUCGGAAUUACUGGGCGUAAAGCGUGCGCAGGCGGUUAUAUAAGACAGAUGUGAAAUCCCCGGGCUCAACCUGGGAACUGCAUUUGUGACUGUAUAGCUAGAGUACGGCAGAGGGGGAUGGAAUUCCGCGUGUAGCAGUGAAAUGCGUAGAUAUGCGGAGGAACACCGAUGGCGAAGGCAAUCCCCUGGGCCUGUACUGACGCUCAUGCACGAAAGCGUGGGGAGCAAACAGGAUUAGAUACCCGCGUAGUCCCUGUCUCUUAUAC
RNAcentral lists this ribosomal RNA (309 nucleotides) under uncultured bacterium. RNAcentral describes it as "partial 16S ribosomal RNA". It matches the Rfam family "Bacterial small subunit ribosomal RNA", at positions 504 to 807 of the family's 1533-position model. The record is from RNAcentral.